GUCAGCGGCAGACGGGUGAGUCACGCGUGGGCACGUCCCUUUUGGUUCGGAACAACACAGGGUAAACUUGUGCUCAUCCCGGAUCAGCCCUUACGGGGUAAAGAUUUAUCGCCGAAAGCUCGGCCCGCGUCUGAUUAGCUAGUUGGUGAGGUAAUGGCUCACCAAGGCGACGAUCAGUAGCUGGUCUGAUAGGAUGAUCAGCCACAUUGGGACUGAGUACACGGCCCAAACUCCUACGGGAGGCAGCAGUGGGGAAUAUUGGACAAUGGGCGCAAGCCUGAUCCAGCCAUGCCGCGUGAGUGAUGAAGGCCCUAGGGUUGUAAAGCUCUUUUGUGCGGGAAGAUAAUGACGGUACCGCAAGAAUAAGCCCCGGCUAACUUCGUGCCAGCAGCCGCGGUAAUACGAAGGGGGCUAGCGUUGCUCGGAAUCACUGGGCGUAAAGGGUGCGUAGGCGGGUCUUUAAGUCAGGGGUGAAAUCCUGGAGCUCAACUCCAGAACUGCCCUUGAUACUGAGGAUCUUGAGUUCGGGAGAGGUGAGUGGAACUGCGAGUGUAAAGGUGAAAUUCGUAGAUAUUCGCAAGAACACCAGUGGCGAAGGCGGCUCACUGGCCCGAUACUGACGCUGAGGCACGAAAGCGUGGGGA
This 644-nucleotide ribosomal RNA is filed under the name Bradyrhizobium sp. Cs155. RNAcentral describes it as "bacterial SSU rRNA". It matches the Rfam family "Bacterial small subunit ribosomal RNA", at positions 91 to 767 of the family's 1533-position model. Lineage: Bacteria; Pseudomonadati; Pseudomonadota; Alphaproteobacteria; Hyphomicrobiales; Nitrobacteraceae. The record is from RNAcentral.